RNAcentral lists this ribosomal RNA (349 nucleotides) under uncultured bacterium. Its description in RNAcentral is "bacterial SSU rRNA". It matches the Rfam family "Bacterial small subunit ribosomal RNA", at positions 362 to 728 of the family's 1533-position model. The record is from RNAcentral.
UAUUGGACAAUGGGGGAAACCCUGAUCCAGCAAUGCCGCGUGAGUGAAGAAGGCCUUAGGGUUGUAAAGCUCUUUCGCCCGCGAAGAUAAUGACGGUAGCGGGAGAAGAAGCCCCGGCUAACUCCGUGCCAGCAGCCGCGGUAAUACGGAGGGGGCUAGCGUUGUUCGGAAUUACUGGGCGUAAAGCGUACGUAGGCGGAUGCGCAAGUUGGGGGUGAAAUCCCGGGGCUUAACCUCGGAAUUGCCCUCAAAACUGCACGUCUUGAGACCGAGAGAGGUAAGGGGAAUUCCUAGGGUAGAGGUGAAAUUCGUAGAUAUUAGGAAGAACACCAGUGGCGAAGGCGUCUUA